GAGUACUCGGAGGACAUUAACGAGUAACUGAACGGGUUGUAGCUGGCCUCUCGGGGCAUGUGCACACCUGGCUCAUCCACUCUUCAACCUCUGUGCACUUGUUGUAGGUCGGCAGAAGGGCGAGCCUUAAAACAGCUCGCUUGGAAGCCUUCCUAUGUUUUAUUACAAACGCUUCAGUUUAAGAAUGUAACCUGCGUAUAACGCAACUAUAUACAACUUUCAGCAACGGAUCUCUUGGCUCUCGCAUCGAUGAAGAACGCAGCGAAAUGCGAUAAGUAAUGUGAAUUGCAGAAUUCAGUGAAUCAUCGAAUCUUUGAACGCACCUUGCGCUCCCUGGUAUUCCGGGGAGCAUGCCUGUUUGAGUGUCAUGGUAUCCUCAUCCUUCAUAACUUUUUGUUAUCGAAGGCAUGGACUUGGAGGUCGUGCUGGUUCCUCGUUGAAUCGGCUCCUCUUAAAUGUAUUAGCGUGAGUGUAACGGAUCGCUUCGGUGUGAUAAUUAUCUGCGCCGUGGUCGUGAAGGAACAUAAGCUUGCGCUUCUAACCGUCCUUAAGUUGGACAGCUUACUUUGACAUCUGACCUCAAAUCAGGUAGGACUACCCGCUGAACUUAAGCAUAUCAAAAACGGGGGGGG
This 632-nucleotide ribosomal RNA is filed under the name Phanerochaete sordida. Its description in RNAcentral is "eukaryotic LSU rRNA". The stretch from base 215 to 368 matches the Rfam family "5.8S ribosomal RNA". Lineage: Eukaryota; Fungi; Basidiomycota; Agaricomycetes; Polyporales; Phanerochaetaceae. The record is from RNAcentral.